GAUGAAGAACGUAGUGAAAUGCGAUAAGUAAUGUGAAUUGCAGAAUUCAGUGAACCAUCGAAUCUUUGAACGCACAUUGCGCCCGGCAGUAAUCUGCCGGGCAUGCCUGUCCGAGCGUCAUUUCUCCCCUCGAGCGCAGCUUUCCCCCCCGGGGGAGGGCCGCGCCCGGUGUUGGGGCUCUACGGAGGAGCCCAGCGCUCCCCCGUAGGCCCCGAAAUGUAGUGGCGGUCCCGCCGCGGCGCCCCCUGCGUAGUAGUUUUACAACUCGCAUCGGGUCCCGGCGGAGGCCAGCCGUCAAACCCCCCAACUUCAAUAGUUUGACCUCGGAUCAGGUAGGGUUACCCGCUGAACUUAAGCAUAUCAAUAAGCGGAGGA
Molecule: unclassified non-coding RNA, 375 nt
Filed under: soil metagenome
Description: partial contains 5.8S ribosomal RNA, internal transcribed spacer 2, and large subunit ribosomal RNA
Rfam family: 5.8S ribosomal RNA (bases 1-120)
Source: RNAcentral